RNAcentral lists this ribosomal RNA (480 nucleotides) under Triticum aestivum (bread wheat). Its description in RNAcentral is "partial small subunit ribosomal RNA". The record is from RNAcentral. Lineage: Eukaryota; Viridiplantae; Streptophyta; Magnoliopsida; Poales; Poaceae.
AUGCAGGAAAGUUCGCUUUAUUUUUCAUGUAUCCUUUCAAUAAUGCAUCUGAAUGUAAUGUUGUUGUUGUGCUCACUCCCGUCCGCUCUCUUCCCUGCACAUCUUAAUUUUAGCACCAUCAUCUUCCCAACAUGCUUCAGCAUUCUGGUACUGCUUGCAAAAAAAAAAUUCACUCACCCUCCUUUUCCAUCUAUAUUUGUGCAAAGAGAUCGAAUACAAAGUGGUAUAUAUAAGUCCAAACUACCUCUAUUAAUCACGAUCAAACAACCACAUUUAUUUGCCAGUUUUUGGCUCGAUCAAGGUCUUAAUUGUGCUAAUAAUAUUUUGAUAUCUCUCACAGAUAAAAGGGCUCCAGGGAUGGAGGAGAUGUCCAUGCUCCACAUUUUUGUUUCAUGGAUAUUGUGCCACCAUUUGCAUCCUAUACUAGAGUUUUGUGGCUACGAAGAGAAGAUAGGGCGCGAGAUAUGUGUGCAUCACUAG